UGCCUGAAUAACUACUGGAAACGGUAGCUAAUACCGCAUAACGUCGCAAGACCAAAGAGGGGGACCUUCGGGCCUCUUGCCAUCGGAUGUGCCCAGAUGGGAUUAGCUUGUUGGUGGGGUAACGGCUCACCAAGGCGACGAUCCCUAGCUGGUCUGAGAGGAUGACCAGCCACACUGGAACUGAGACACGGUCCAGACUCCUACGGGAGGCAGCAGUGGGGAAUAUUGCACAAUGGGCGCAAGCCUGAUGCAGCCAUGCCGCGUGUAUGAAGAAGGCCUUCGGGUUGUAAAGUACUUUCAGCGGGGAGGAAGGGAGUAAAGUUAAUACCUUUACUCAUUGACGUUACCCGCAGAAGAAGCACCGGCUAACUCCGUGCCAGCAGCCGCGGUAAUACGGAGGGUGCAGGCGUUAAUCGGAAUUACUGGGCGUAAAGCGCACGCAGGCGGUUUGUUAAGUCAGAUGUGAAAUCCCCGGGCUCAACCUGGGAACUGCAUCUGAUACUGGCAAGCUUGAGUCUCGUAGAGGGGGGUAGAAUUCCAGGUGUAGCGGUGAAAUGCGUAGAGAUCUGGAGGAAUACCGGUGGCGAAGGCGGCCCCCUGGACGAAGACUGACGCUCAGGUGCGAAAGCGUGGGGAGCAAACAGGAUUAGAUACCCUGGUAGUCCACGCCGUAAACGAUGUCGACUUGGAG
Molecule: ribosomal RNA, 691 nt
Filed under: uncultured bacterium
Lineage: Bacteria
Description: bacterial SSU rRNA
Rfam family: Bacterial small subunit ribosomal RNA
Source: RNAcentral